AUCUGAUCAGUUGGUAUGUGGGGGGCAGUGGCUGAAAGGUGCAUAAAUGUGGGCUGGACAGUGGUCAAGGGAGCAACCUGGGAAGAGCAACCUGGGAGAGGAACCUGGGAGGAGCACCUGAGGACUGGAUCAGAAGUGACUGGGCAGGAUGUGAGAGAGACCAGAGAGGAGGCCAUGGCAAGGAAUCAGACCACCAUGUUCUUUGUUCAUCGGUCCCUGGUAAGACCUCACCUUGAGUAUGCAGUUUUGAGCUCCAUUCCUUAAUAAGGAUAUUAUUGAGCUGGAGAGAGUGCAGAGACUAUGCUGGACAUGACAGAGAAUUUAAAAAAAUGACGAAAGACUCAACGUUGGGUUGUUUUCUCUGGAGAAAAGGUGCUUGUGCUUACUCUUUGCAGGUACGUUAGAGGGCAUUAUAGACAGAUAAUGGGGGAUCUUGAGAUCUUUUUUCCCAUAGAAAAGAUCGACACACCAAAUACCUCUCCUUUAGACUACAGUACGAGAACUUUGAAGCAGUGUAGGUGGUUUUUCAGGGUAAAGGCACUGAGGUUAUGGAAUUCCCUGCUGGGUGAUGUUGUGAUGGCAAAUUCUAUUAAUGCCUUAAAGAGUGACUUGGAAGAUUUCUUGAACAAGCAAAAUACCCAAGGCUACUGUGAUCUUUAGAUCUAUAGCUAGUUAUUAUAUGUAUUGGUAUAUAUAGUUUAUAUAUGCGAGGUCUGCAUAAUUUGUCUAUAUAUGAGCACUGGGGUUCUUUUGGAGGGGUUAAACUUGAUAGACCUUUGUCUAUUUUUAGGCCAAUUAACUAUGUAACUAUGUAACAAAGUGAAAAGUAACUCUAUACCACAAAUUACUACACAUUGACUGAACCAAAACAUCACCGGGCAGGGUAUUUCACAAUCUGCCCUCACCGUAAAGACUUUAAAAGUACACAUAGUUUAGCUCAAACUUGUCUGGGGCUAACACAGGUUUAUGGUACUUCAAUGUUUAAGCAGAAAUACAUGAAGUAUUUAGAGAGCUUAGUUCAGUUUUAGCAAGGCCACUUUUUCUGAUUUCCUAAGACGUUCUUUCAGAAAAUAAUUUUCACAACAAAAGUGAAAAUAAGAGGGACCACUCCCCUUGAUGUUUCUGCUUAAGUAAUCAGCCUCCCAGUUUUCUUAUCCAGGUAUGAAGAUCGCUGAAAUGGCCGGCACAUUGAUCUGCCCAAUGGAACAUUUUGGACACUUCCUGCAUUGCUCCUUGUUCCACCCUGGUGGUUGAGGUAGCAUUGUCCGAUUGAAUUUGGACAGGUGUGGCAUUGAAUAGAGGUUCCCAAUGGCAAAGGGCAUUGUGUACAGCUCAAUCUCCAGAACAAUGACGUACAGGCUUGUUUCCACUGGGGGCCAGAGGCCCUGGCAGGAUAGGUUCUCCAAGGAUGCCCCCAGCCAGACAGGUUGGCGUCCAUACUUAUCAUUUUCCAAGUGCCCAGAGACGACUGAGAGAUAGAUUGAGAAUGUCUUGCUGAGGGGAAUGAUCUGGAAAAAAUCAAUGUGAUCCUUGUUCCAUGUUUUGAGGAACGCUGUUUGCAGAGCUCUCAUGAAAAUGUGAGUAAGGAAUCACCUCUAGAAAAGAGACCAUUAGCCCCAGGAGCCUCAAGCAAUCCUCUUCUCCCAAAAAUCAUUGAGUCGAUAUCUGAAGAUUGGCUAUUUUGUCCUCUGGGAGGAACAUUGUUUGAUUCUUGUAACUGAAGAUCAUUCUGAGGAAACAGAUUUGCUGUUGUUUGGAGUGUUUGUUGCAUGUGUUGGGGUGUCACCUCAAGUGAUGGGCCCUUGAUGAGUAUAUCAUCCAGGUAAGGUAGUGCCAUAACACCCCUCUUUCUCAGGAUGGCUACAACUGGAGUCAAGACCUUGGUAAGUACUUGUAGGACAGCAGUCAGGCCGAACUGUAGGGCUCUGAACUGGAAAUGCUCCUGUGCCACUCCAAGUCUCAGAAACCUUUGCUGAUUUGGGUGCUGGUCCAAAAAUGGCUGUUGCAUUGAUGUAACUUCAUCUGAGGAUAUUUUUUAUUCUUUUAUCCAUAUGGUCUUUGAAUCCCAUGGCAUACUCUUUUGUUAAUGUUGUGUAUUUAGAAAGGCGAGAGAUCGCCAAAUCGACUUUCGGUGGUUUAUCCCAUUUUGUUCCAUAUUCCUGGGGUACUGGAAACUUAGUAAACAAUUUUUUUCUCAGA
Long non-coding RNA from Xenopus tropicalis (tropical clawed frog), 2199 nucleotides. RefSeq lists it as uncharacterized. The record is from RefSeq and is a predicted model, not a curated record. The transcript has 2 exons. Lineage: Eukaryota; Metazoa; Chordata; Amphibia; Anura; Pipidae.